GUGGGGAAUAUUGGACAAUGGGGGAAACCCUGAUGCAGCGACGCCGCGUGAGUGAUGAAGGCCUUCGGGUCGUAAAGCUCUGUCGUAUGGGACUAACAAAAUGAAGGUACCAUGCAAGAAAGGAUCGGCUAACUUCGUGCCAGCAGCCGCGGUAAGACGAGGGAUCCUAGCGUUGUUCGGAAUUAUUGGGCGUAAAGCGGGUGUAGGCGGGCCUGUCAGUCAGGUGUGAAAUCCCAGGGCUUAACCCUGGAAGUGCACUUGAUACUGCAGGUCUUGAGUGUGGUAGAGGCUAUUAGAAUUCUUGGUGUAGUGGUGAAAUACGUAGAUAUCAAGAGGAAUACCGGAGGCGAAGGCGGAUAGCUGGGCCAACACUGACGCUGAGACCCGAAAGCGUGGGGAUCAAACAGGAUUAGAAACCCGUGUAGUCC
RNAcentral lists this ribosomal RNA (428 nucleotides) under uncultured bacterium. Its description in RNAcentral is "bacterial SSU rRNA". It matches the Rfam family "Bacterial small subunit ribosomal RNA", at positions 354 to 796 of the family's 1533-position model. The record is from RNAcentral.